AAGUCGUAACAAGGUUUCCGUAGGUGAACCUGCGGAAGGAUCAUUAACACGUAUCCUACGUAUCAACCCCUUCGUGCUUUUGUUUGUGCAGUUGAAUUGGAGUUUCUUUCUCUUUUGAACUUUUUGGGUGGUGCUUCGGCGCGAUCCAGAGGGAGAGAGAGAGGAGGGAGCUUUGAUUUAAUAGCUAUAACUAUUAACCCCUUUGUAAACAUUUCUUCUGAAAUAAUGUUUGUAGUUGAGCUGGAAACGGCUUAGCUCGAACAAUAUUACGAAAUGCUUGACAACUCUUAACAACGGAUAUCUUGGUUCUC
Molecule: unclassified non-coding RNA, 311 nt
Filed under: fungal sp.
Lineage: Eukaryota; Fungi
Description: partial internal transcribed spacer region
Rfam family: Eukaryotic small subunit ribosomal RNA (bases 1-46)
Source: RNAcentral